RNAcentral lists this ribosomal RNA (228 nucleotides) under Triticum aestivum (bread wheat). Its description in RNAcentral is "partial small subunit ribosomal RNA". The record is from RNAcentral. Lineage: Eukaryota; Viridiplantae; Streptophyta; Magnoliopsida; Poales; Poaceae.
CCUAGAGCCCGGCCAAAGGCGCCACCAGCAGGCUUUGCCAAGAUUCAUGUUGACGCCGGUAUGGCGCGUUUCAAUAGGGGUGGUUUAGCAGCAGCUAUAUGUAGAGAUGGUGAAGGAAACUACUUGGGCAUCGCAGCAUUGGUGAUCCCAGGGGUCGUGGAUGCAGCAACACUGGAAGCUAUUGCGUGUCGGGAGGCGCUGUCUUUGGCUGAAGACUUGCACAUUUGA